Molecule: ribosomal RNA, 1817 nt
Filed under: Escherichia coli
Lineage: Bacteria; Pseudomonadati; Pseudomonadota; Gammaproteobacteria; Enterobacterales; Enterobacteriaceae
Description: partial 23S ribosomal RNA
Rfam family: Bacterial large subunit ribosomal RNA
Source: RNAcentral
UGGAAGCGUCUGGAAAGGCGCGCGAUACAGGGUGACAGCCCCGUACACAAAAAUGCACAUGCUGUGAGCUCGAUGAGUAGGGCGGGACACGUGGUAUCCUGUCUGAAUAUGGGGGGACCAUCCUCCAAGGCUAAAUACUCCUGACUGACCGAUAGUGAACCAGUACCGUGAGGGAAAGGCGAAAAGAACCCCGGCGAGGGGAGUGAAAAAGAACCUGAAACCGUGUACGUACAAGCAGUGGGAGCACAGAGCAAUCUGUGUGACUGCGUACCUUUUGUAUAAUGGGUCAGCGACUUAUAUUCUGUAGCAAGGUUAACCGAAUAGGGGAGCCGAAGGGAAACCGAGUCUUAACUGGGCGUUAAGUUGCAGGGUAUAGACCCGAAACCCGGUGAUCUAGCCAUGGGCAGGUUGAAGGUUGGGUAACACUAACUGGAGGACCGAACCGACUAAUGUUGAAAAAUUAGCGGAUGACUUGUGGCUGGGGGUGAAAGGCCAAUCAAACCGGGAGAUAGCUGGUUCUCCCCGAAAGCUAUUUAGGUAGCGCCUCGUGAAUUCAUCUCCGGGGGUAGAGCACUGUUUCGGCAAGGGGGUCAUCCCGACUUACCAACCCGAUGCAAACUGCGAAUACCGGAGAAUGUUAUCACGGGAGACACACGGCGGGUGCUAACGUCCGUCGUGAAGAGGGAAACAACCCAGACCGCCAGCUAAGGUCCCAAAGUCAUGGUUAAGUGGGAAACGAUGUGGGAAGGCCCAGACAGCCAGGAUGUUGGCUUAGAAGCAGCCAUCAUUUAAAGAAAGCGUAAUAGCUCACUGGUCGAGUCGGCCUGCGCGGAAGAUGUAACGGGGCUAAACCAUGCACCGAAGCUGCGGCAGCGACGCUGAUGCGUUGUUGGGUAGGGGAGCGUUCUGUAAGCCUGUGAAGGUGUGCUGUGAGGCAUGCUGGAGGUAUCAGAAGUGCGAAUGCUGACAUAAGUAACGAUAAAGCGGGUGAAAAGCCCGCUCGCCGGAAGACCAAGGGUUCCUGUCCAACGUUAAUCGGGGCAGGGUGAGUCGACCCCUAAGGCGAGGCCGAAAGGCGUAGUCGAUGGGAAACAGGUUAAUAUUCCUGUACUUGGUGUUACUGCGAAGGGGGGACGGAGAAGGCUAUGUUGGCCGGGCGACGGUUGUCCCGGUUUAAGCGUGUAGGCUGGUUUUCCAGGCAAAUCCGGAAAACUAAGGCUGAGGCGUGAUGACGAGGCACUACGGUGCUGAAGCAACAAAUGCCCUGCUUCCAGGAAAAGCCUCUAAGCAUCAGGUAACAUCAAAUCGUACCCCAAACCGACACAGGUGGUCAGGUAGAGAAUACCAAGGCGCUUGAGAGAACUCGGGUGAAGGAACUAGGCAAAAUGGUGCCGUAACUUCGGGAGAAGGCACGCUGAUAUGUAGGUGAAGUCCCUCGCGGAUGGAGCUGAAAUCAGUCGAAGAUACCAGCUGGCUGCAACUGUUUAUUAAAAACACAGCACUGUGCAAACACGAAAGUGGACGUAUACGGUGUGACGCCUGCCCGGUGCCGGAAGGUUAAUUGAUGGGGUCAGCGCAAGCGAAGCUCUUGAUCGAAGCCCCGGUAAACGGCGGCCGUAACUAUAACGGUCCUAAGGUAGCGAAAUUCCUUGUCGGGUAAGUUCCGACCUGCACGAAUGGCGUAAUGAUGGCCAGGCUGUCUCCACCCGAGACUCAGUGAAAUUGAACUCGCUGUGAAGAUGCAGUGUACCCGCGGCAAGACGGAAAGACCCCGUGAACCUUUACUAUAGCUUGACACUGAACAUUGAGCCUUGAUG